UUUGCAGAGUUUUAUUUUUAUGACCGUGGUAUACUUUGGACCUCUGACUUGCUCCAUUAUUACUACAACUCGGAAGUUCUUCACCAUCCUAGGCUCUGUGAUUAUCUUUGCUAACCCCAUCAGCUCCAUGCAGUGGGUAGGAACCAUCCUUGUAUUUGUAGGUCUUGGACUUGACUCCAGAUAUGGAAAAGGACAAAAGAAAUCUUAACAUUUGUGUGACUGUGGUGAAACCACACACUGAAGGCAAACUUAGUGCUCUGAACUUUGUCAGGACUUGGAUUUAUUUUUAAUUGACUCUUUUUAAAGGAAAAUAUUUUAUGAUGCUGAUCGCUUCCACAUUCUCAGACUGAGACUAGUGAUGUAAGCAGAAAGAAUCAUGGUGUUUGCCUUCUCUUGCUAUAAAGUGAGAGUUUAGAAGACGUGGUAAAAUCUUUUUAAACCUGAUGGCAGAAUGUCUCUAGGUCCAAGCAGUUAUAAGGCCAGUCUGAACUUUGAGAGGCUGUGCUGCCAUCAUUAAAUCAUGGGCAUUACAUGUAGGUGUCCUUUAUCCAGAUGGAAGCUUGCAAACAUUUGUUUGGAAUCUGUUAGCUGUAUCUUAACAUUUCACAUUCAUGGCAGAUAACUGCAGAAAUGUUUACAGUGUCCGCUUCGUAUGUGUGAUAGGGGCUUAUGGCAAUGAUGCUAAAGUUGAAAUCUGAUGCAGUGUCACCUGUUUUGUUGUUCAGAAUUGUGAAAACAUUAUGUGGUCAUUACAAUUUUGGUGUAAAA
Long non-coding RNA from Protopterus annectens (West African lungfish), 768 nucleotides. RefSeq lists it as uncharacterized. The transcript has 2 exons. The record is from RefSeq and is a predicted model, not a curated record. NCBI's taxonomy places the organism in Eukaryota, Metazoa, Chordata, Ceratodontiformes, Protopteridae.